This 462-nucleotide ribosomal RNA is filed under the name uncultured bacterium. RNAcentral's name for it is "bacterial SSU rRNA". It matches the Rfam family "Bacterial small subunit ribosomal RNA", at positions 29 to 524 of the family's 1533-position model. The record is from RNAcentral.
AACGAACGCUGGCGGCAUGCCUAACACAUGCAAGUCGAACGGGAUCCUGGCUUCGGUCAGGUGAGAGUGGCGGACGGGUGAGUAACGCGUGGGAACCUGCCCAGUGGUGGGGGAUAACUGCGGGAAACUGCAGCUAAUACCGCAUGAGCCCGAGAGGGGAAAGAUUUAUCGCCAUUGGAGGGGCCCGCGUUCGAUUAGGUAGUUGGUGAGGUAACGGCUCACCAAGCCGACGAUCGAUAGCUGGUCUGAGAGGAUGAUCAGCCACACUGGGACUGAGAUACGGCCCAGACUCCUACGGGAGGCAGCAGUGGGGAAUAUUGGACAAUGGGGGGCAACCCUGAUCCAGCAAUGCCGCGUGAGUGAUGAAGGCCUUCGGGUUGUAAAGCUCUUUUGGCGGGGACGGAUGAUGACGGUACCCGCAGAAUAAGCCCCGGCUAACUUCGUGCCAGCAGCCGCGGUAAU